UAGAUUGAAAACCUCGCUGUGCAGCGAC
Molecule: non-coding RNA, 28 nt
Filed under: Mus musculus (house mouse)
Lineage: Eukaryota; Metazoa; Chordata; Mammalia; Rodentia; Muridae
Source: RNAcentral